GCACAUUGUACCUCUUGAAAAGCACUUAUCUAGCUGCUAAAUACAUUCCCUAGCUUGCUCUAAAGAUUGUGGGUCAAGUGGCACAAAGAAAAAAAUCCUGCAUUGUUAUGGUUGAGCCUCAUGGCUCUACUACUGGGAGACGUGGGCGUAAGACUCCUCGAGAGUCAGAUACUCUCGAGGAGCGAGAAAGGAAGCGGCUGCGAGAUAUCUUUGCAGAACCAUCUGAUGAGGAUUCUUUUGAGGGGUUUACUGAGAGAAUGGAGGAAGAGAUGGUUAGCUCGGAAGAGGAUGACAUGGAAUGGACUCGUGUAAGGGAGGAUUUGGGUGCCACUGGCAAUGAUAGUAUGGAAGGCGAUUGGGGACCUUCAGGAUUAGACCCGUGGACAAGCUGGAGGGAUGGGAUGGGAUCCACAGCUGGGGAUGCUGUGGGGCGUAGUCAAAGGUGUUCCAGUUCUGAUGAGGAAAGUGAUGAGGAAACGCCCGGGCUAAGGAGAACAGCUGAUAGCGAUGAGGACUUGUAACUGGCAUAAAAUGGGGUUUGGGAGCAAUAGCAAAUUGCGUUGGGCAAGGUAAUCUGGACGAACGCUUGGGAUCUGUGUGGGAAGUUUUCCUGAAGACGGGUGUGAUUCGUUUGCUGACUACCUUUGACCUUCCGUCGUCUUCUUGACGGACGCCAUCUGCUUACUCUGGACUUACAGACUGACUGACUACGGCCUCGGAUUCUCCUACCUGUGUCUAUCGUUGAAACUGGUGAACUACAAACGUCUGCAUCUGCCUUACGACCUUCGGAACGGAUUGGGACUUCGCUGACUGCUUCUGCCCUCGUCUGCUGUGUUUGUAUCGGGAAAUUGCCUGCUGUGUGGAGGAGUAACCUCUAAGUUACUCAAACAUAGCUCUUGGCAGCAGAGAAGCAUCUGCUGCCAAUUAGUUGCAUUCCUUUGAACUUUUUGUUCACCAGCUUCUGUUUGUUUUUUCCCAGGCUGAAGCAAGCUGUUUUGAUUUAACCCGGAUUAAACUCCGGUUUAAUCCGGUUUAUCUUUUGAACGUUUUUCUUGUCUCUUUUUACUUUUAAGGCCAGUGUUUGCCUAGCCCUUGUCUUUUACGGGCAUUUUUGGUUCUGUAACUCCAAUAAACUUUGUUAUCUUUUA
Molecule: long non-coding RNA, 1148 nt
Organism: Anolis carolinensis (green anole)
Lineage: Eukaryota; Metazoa; Chordata; Lepidosauria; Squamata; Anolidae
Exons: 2
Source: RefSeq, a predicted model, not a curated record